This is a non-coding RNA of Lonchura striata (white-rumped munia), 1118 nucleotides long. The record is from RefSeq and is a predicted model, not a curated record. NCBI's taxonomy places the organism in Eukaryota, Metazoa, Chordata, Aves, Passeriformes, Estrildidae.
UCCGGCCCGGCUCCGCGCAGCCCCGCGCCGGGCCGGGCCGGCGGGCAGGGCGGCCCAGCAUGUCUCCGCGCCCCCGGACAGAGCAGGACCGAUCGCCGCCGUUAGGAAGGCCGGUGUCAUCAAGGAAUUACUGGCGUUGUUCUUCCAAGACGAAUCGGCGGGCUUCCCUCGCAGAAGCAGCCUGGCUCCCAGGAAGCCUGCGGGGCAGGGCAGGGCAAGCUGCCGCCACCCCGGCGUGGCAUAUAAAGCACUUGCACUGCUCUGGCUAUUGGAUAUUCGCUUUGAUUUCAUGUAGCUCCGCAGGCGCCAGGCUCCAAGGUUUAUCGCAACGCACUAACAGUGAGUCGGAGUAGUAAGAUAAUUAUUAUUAUCAUCCUCAGAAAACUGAGCCGAUACUGGGACUAGCCGGGAUUUCACUAAUACAACAAGUCUGGUGGUUGGAAAUAACAAUGUAUUUCUAAAAAAUGCAAAGAUCAGGGAGCCAAUGUUAACACAACAGUACCAACAUUAACAUUUUAACAGGUUAAAAAGUAACUAUAUUUUUUGUUAAAGUGCCUCAAAGCGUCCAGGCUUUAAAAAAAAAAAAAAAAAAAAACCAACAACGGGGUGGGGGGAAAGAAAGAAAAAUAAAUACAUGUCAAGUGUGACAAAAUAACACAAGAUUUGCAAAACAUUAUUAGAAAGAAUCCUGAAGUCAACAUUUUCCCACUGUCAAACAUAAGCCUGUCAUUCAAGUACUGUAUUAUAAUAAGCAUUGCCAAGAAAAGUGGAACUGAGGGAAAAGUACAAAGAACAAAUGCACCAGCACAACAGUUGUAAAAUUUUCUAUUAGAAGUUCAAAGUUCUGUACCACACUUGGUACAAUUAUAGUUUAUUUGCAGUAAAAGCCCCUCCAUGCUCAACUACUUGUGUCCAUGUGCUGCAUACCCUUAAGACACAUGAUGUACAUCAACUUGCAGAAACCAGUAGGAAAAGAAAGCAGGAGAGGAAGAAAAAGGUAUCCUGGUAGCUGAGCUUAAGUCUUCCCUGUAUAUCUAAGAAUUUUGUGGAGUACUUUUUACAAUUGUACUACAGUCCAAGCAUGGGUGAUAGAGCACCUAACAGGACAAAAAGGAUUC